This 564-nucleotide ribosomal RNA is filed under the name Lysinibacillus xylanilyticus. Its description in RNAcentral is "bacterial SSU rRNA". It matches the Rfam family "Bacterial small subunit ribosomal RNA", at positions 1 to 546 of the family's 1533-position model. The record is from RNAcentral. Lineage: Bacteria; Bacillati; Bacillota; Bacilli; Caryophanales; Bacillaceae.
UUUAUGGAGAGUUUGAUCCUGGCUCAGGACGAACGCUGGCGGCGUGCCUAAUACAUGCAAGUCGAGCGAACAGAGAAGGAGCUUGCUCCUUUGACGUUAGCGGCGGACGGGUGAGUAACACGUGGGCAACCUACCUUAUAGUUUGGGAUAACUCCGGGAAACCGGGGCUAAUACCGAAUAAUCUAUUUCACUUCAUGGUGAAAUACUGAAAGACGGUUUCGGCUGUCGCUAUAAGAUGGGCCCGCGGCGCAUUAGCUAGUUGGUGAGGUAACGGCUCACCAAGGCGACGAUGCGUAGCCGACCUGAGAGGGUGAUCGGCCACACUGGGACUGAGACACGGCCCAGACUCCUACGGGAGGCAGCAGUAGGGAAUCUUCCACAAUGGGCGAAAGCCUGAUGGAGCAACGCCGCGUGAGUGAAGAAGGUUUUCGGAUCGUAAAACUCUGUUGUAAGGGAAGAACAAGUACAGUAGUAACUGGCUGUACCUUGACGGUACCUUAUUAGAAAGCCACGGCUAACUACGUGCCAGCAGCCGCGGUAAUACGUAGGUGGCAAGCGUUGUCC